GAAUAUGUGGACUAACGGGUCACAACCGCGUAUCAUGUAAAUACCGUGGAGAGUCCAAUGCACAAUCACAAACUCAUUCUGAAAAUAACGUUAACUAUGUCGAUGAUGAGUUUGUCGAAGAUAACGAUGAUUGGAACCUUUCUAUGGAUUUGAGUUAAUUGUGGAUAUAGGUUAAGCACUAUCAGGUUCAAAUGGAAAUGUGUUUUGCCUAGUUUGAGAGAUGUGAUGCUGCUGGUAGUGUUGUUCAGCUGUUGUGUUGCUGAAGCUAUUUACAUUAUGAUCAGACAAAGCUUUUCAAUAUGUAUCAUGUUUAGAUUACAAUGAGACCAAACUCUGUUUAGAUUAAUUUGAGACCAAACUCUGUUUAGAUUAUGCCUAAUGAGCUUCCUAAAAAAAUUAUUUGUUGACUUUGUAGUUUUAAGUUUGAUCUCUUGGCUAAUGUGGCACGACAAAUUAUAUUAUUAUUAUUAU
This is a long non-coding RNA of Trifolium pratense (red clover), 471 nucleotides long. RefSeq lists it as uncharacterized. NCBI's taxonomy places the organism in Eukaryota, Viridiplantae, Streptophyta, Magnoliopsida, Fabales, Fabaceae. The record is from RefSeq and is a predicted model, not a curated record. The transcript has 3 exons.